CGUUGGUCCAAGUGCAGUGGUGUUUACAACUAAUAGAUCACAACCAGUUACAGAUUCCUUUGUUCCUUCUCCACUCCCACUGCUCCAAUUGACCAACCUUAA
This is an unclassified non-coding RNA of Microcebus murinus (gray mouse lemur), 102 nucleotides long. It matches the Rfam family "Y RNA". Rfam says of the family: Y RNAs are components of the Ro ribonucleoprotein particle (Ro RNP), in association with Ro60 and La proteins. The Y RNAs and Ro60 and La proteins are well conserved, but the function of the Ro RNP is not known. NCBI's taxonomy places the organism in Eukaryota, Metazoa, Chordata, Mammalia, Primates, Cheirogaleidae. The record is from Ensembl.